AUUGCUAUCCAUAAUUCUAGGCUAAGUAAAUUAAAUUCAUCUUCUUUGGGGUUAUGUACUUACACGUUUUUACAAUAAAAAAACAGACAGUAUUUUGAAUAAGUACGUCAGAACAUAAAUUUAAAGCUCAUGUGAAACUUACUUUAUGUAAAAAGCUUAUAAUUUACUAAUAAGAUCAAUGAUUACCCAAAUGAUAAAAGUGCCUGGUAUUCAAUGUGUUUCUCUAGUUAUCAAAUAACUUGUAAUGUACUUAUGUAUAAGAUGUGUUGCUGUUGCAGUUUCUUGCCAUUUCUUCUCCAGCUAUAACACCUUGCGGAAUGACGUAGUUUCAAAAAAUAUUAAAUUGACCUUCAAUAAGUUUAUCUAUGAUAAUUACGUUGAACAAACGAUUCUGAUUCUGUCUUUGUCCAUGACAGGCGUUCGACCACGGUACUCCUCAGCAGA
RNAcentral lists this small RNA (444 nucleotides) under Pectinophora gossypiella (pink bollworm). RNAcentral's name for it is "partial Cad1". Lineage: Eukaryota; Metazoa; Arthropoda; Insecta; Lepidoptera; Gelechiidae. The record is from RNAcentral.